CGCUGCUCCUCGGUGUCCCCGAGUGAACCCUCCGUCGUUACAAAGCCCGGCGCUGUGUGGUGCGUGCCGCCCGUAGCCGCCGUGCCUCGUUCGGGGCGGGCGGGACUCGGCCCGCCGCCACCCUGCUGCCUCCUCCAUACGGUUCUAUAGCAAAUGUCCGCUUCUGAUCGCUUUAUCCGGGCUGAGUUUAAAGAUGCCUUCUGAAGAGAGCAAGGAUACGUCUGCCUUACUGCGGAAUUUUACUUUCCUCUUAAUUAUUGAGUGCCUCGUUUGCAGGGUUGAGGAUGUGGUGGUAUCUGAGUGACUGAGCUGAGGUUCGUAGCGGGCUGAGAGCGCUGCCCCCUCAUCCCACAGCUGGGCACUCCCUGCUGUUGGCAGCUUCAGACCUGAGGAGAAGGGGAGGGGAUGGCGCGGGGUGCCGGCAGCAGGCGUCCUCCUUGGGGAGGAAGGGCAGAAGAUGCGAGCGGAGUUGGAUGUUUCUUACCACGGUGACCGUGUUGUACAUUGCCUUAUAUUAAUGGUGAAUAUUUAAUCCCAGUAGUUUGUGAAGAAGCUGAGUGUGCUUAGAGGAAACAGGUAAGGGGAGACAAGGACAUCUGUGAGCAGUGCUGGAAGGUGAGCCAGCUGGCAUACAGACUCACAGUAAGGUGGAGUGUUGAGACAGAGUUUUACAAGUAUGCACUUUUACAGGAGAGGAGCUUUAAGUGGUCUUUUGAGGGACUGAGAUCAGGGUUUGUUUUCUUUAGCGGUGUGUGACUGCAGUCACUGUUAAGUCCAUCACAGGGGUGGAGUCAGACAAACAAAUGUGGCUGAUUUGUUAUUUCCCUGGGUGCUGUGAGCGGUCACUGAACCUCCAGUAGGCCACUCCUGUGUCAUUCCACAGCUGAGGAGGAAAAGAGCGGAUGCAUAGUAAUAAAUGCACGAAGGUCCAGUCUGCACUGUGCUGCGUGCGCUCCGACUGGAGCCCAGGGUGGCACACAAUGUACCCUGCUGGUAGAGGACGUCUGAGUGUUGAUCUCACCAAUCAGCUCGUGGAGUUCCUGGGGCUAAGGGGCAGCUUCCCUUAAGGAAGUGCUUCCUUUACAACGUCCUUCUGGGCAGCUAAACCACUGUGAAUGCACAGUGCCUGUGCACGUGUUUUCAUUCUGUUUGCCCUUUACAUUGUGAUGCCUUUCUGUGAUUCAGAG
RNAcentral lists this long non-coding RNA (1187 nucleotides) under Gallus gallus (chicken). Its description in RNAcentral is "long non-coding RNA NONGGAT012093". The record is from RNAcentral. Lineage: Eukaryota; Metazoa; Chordata; Aves; Galliformes; Phasianidae.